CUGACAUGCCUUUUGGCAGAGGUGCACCAAGAAGCGUGUGCUAGUUGCUUAAGCCAGUUCAAUCAAACAAAAAGUGAUAUUAUCAUUGGACAUGAUCUACAGAUCUGAAGGAGUGAGACCACUGGACUGACACUUGAGCCUUCGACCUCAUUAAAAGGAUGUGAUAAAAAGCAAGGAGCAUUUGAACUGUGUCGUGGUGGGAAAGUCUGGUCGCCAAUACUGGAUUCAUCUCAUGUCUCCGUCCAAAAAAGGAAAGGACCCCCUUAACCAUGUGCGCUAUUUUGUCCACAUCAGACAUCCUCUUCUGAUAGGAGCCAUCCUAACACCAUUUCAAGCCAAGUUGUACUAUACCUGAUAAAUUUGUUUGUGGACCUUUGAACAGGAGCUCUGAACUGCAGACACAUCGCCAUC
Molecule: long non-coding RNA, 411 nt
Organism: Hemicordylus capensis (graceful crag lizard)
Lineage: Eukaryota; Metazoa; Chordata; Lepidosauria; Squamata; Cordylidae
Exons: 4
Source: RefSeq, a predicted model, not a curated record